This 372-nucleotide long non-coding RNA is filed under the name Chrysemys picta bellii (western painted turtle). RNAcentral's name for it is "lncRNA (ENSCPBG00000008163.1)". Lineage: Eukaryota; Metazoa; Chordata; Testudines; Emydidae. The record is from RNAcentral.
CACACGCCCCUAAUCCUUUACUGGCUGUAACAAGAAAGGCAUCUGACUUUAAUUUAGACUGGCUGCCACCAGUCUGAAACAGGAAAGCAACGUGCAAUGCUAGAAAGUAACAAGAGAGCAGCUAUGCCGAACAAAAGCAAAGCCAUUUAAAAUGUACCACAGAAUAAAAUAAAAAAUUGCAUCUCUUGGAAAAUGCCGCAUUGAGUAGCUCCAUCCCCUGUACGGAGCAGUCUCGUUGUACUUGCCCGGAUGUACCGCGAGGUCAGCAGUCUCCCAUGAGACUGUCACUUAAGUGAAGACAGACUCUUAGAGCCAGCCGCCAGAGAGAGCUGAAGAACAAAUCAGACUAGCACAUCCCUCUCACCCCAUGUG